AUUCUGAGCGCCUGUUCGCUGGCCUAGCCGGCAACAUCCCAGGUAGUCGAGACCUUCAAGACUUCGGUGCGGCAUUGCGCAUUGGUCACUGUGCUCCCUGAUGCACACAGCCUCUAUUUACCCAACCCACAAGGGAUACCCUCCCUGGCGGG
This is a non-coding RNA of Pseudomonas alkylphenolica, 152 nucleotides long. The record is from Rfam. Lineage: Bacteria; Pseudomonadati; Pseudomonadota; Gammaproteobacteria; Pseudomonadales; Pseudomonadaceae.